CCCAGACUCCUACGGGAGGCAGCAGUGGGGAAUAUUGCACAAUGGGGGGAACCCUGAUGCAGCGACGCCGCGUGGGUGAAGGAGUACUUCGGUACGUAAAGCCCUAUCAGCAGGAAAGAAAAUGACGGUACCUGACUAAGAAGCCCCGGCUAACUACGCGCCAGCAGCCGCGGUAAUACGUAGGGGGCAAGCGUUAUCCGGAUUUACUGGGUGUAAAGGGAGCGUAGACGGCAGUGCAAGUCCGGAGUGAAAGCCCGGGGCUCAACCCUGGGACUGCUCUGGAAACUGUAAAGCUGGAGUGCGGGAGGGGCAGGCGGAAUUCCUGGUGUAGCGGUGAAAUGCGUAGAUAUCAGGAGGAACACCGGCGGCGAAGGCGGCCUGCUGGACCGUAACUGACGUUGAGGCUCGAAAGCGUGGGGAGCAAACAGGAUUAGAUACCCUUGUA
This 445-nucleotide ribosomal RNA is filed under the name uncultured bacterium. RNAcentral's name for it is "bacterial SSU rRNA". It matches the Rfam family "Bacterial small subunit ribosomal RNA", at positions 330 to 792 of the family's 1533-position model. The record is from RNAcentral.